This 448-nucleotide ribosomal RNA is filed under the name uncultured bacterium. Its description in RNAcentral is "bacterial SSU rRNA". It matches the Rfam family "Bacterial small subunit ribosomal RNA", at positions 330 to 793 of the family's 1533-position model. The record is from RNAcentral.
UCCAGACUCCUACGGGAGGCAGCAGUGGGGGAUAUUGCACAAUGGGGGGAACCCUGAUGCAGCGACGCCGCGUGGGUGAAGGAGCGUUUCGGCGCGUAAAGCCCUCUCGGCAGGGAAGAAGGAGGACGGUACCUGACUAAGAAGCCCCGGCUAACUACGUGCCAGCAGCCGCGGUAAUACGUAGGGGGCAAGCGUUAUCCGGAUUUACUGGGUGUAAAGGGGGCGCAGACGGCAGCGCAAGCCAGGAGUGAAAGCCCGGGGCCCAACCCCGGGACUGCUCUUGGAACUGCGCGGCUGGAGUGCAGGAGGGGCAGGCGGAAUUCCUGGUGUAGCGGUGAAAUGCGUAGAUAUCAGGAGGAACACCGGUGGCGAAGGCGGCCUGCUGGACUGCGACUGACGUUGAGGCCCGAAAGCGUGGGGAGCAAACAGGAUUAGAUACCCGCGUACG